AGAAAGUGCUGAGAUUUUUAGAAGUGUUCAAGAUUUUCAAGUUUAUACUCUCUCUCUUUAAUACUUCAUCUCCAAAACCUUCUCUUUCUUAAAUAUAUAUUCAUAUAUACAAGGUUUUGAUUCUCAAGCUCUAACCCACCAAGUUAGCUCACCCACAACCACUUCCAAGCCUCCGUAGGGGCUGCCCAAGUUCGUCCAAGUGCCCAAAAUCCGGCCGAACCUCCGGCGAAUUUUUCCGGCGAACUUUUCCGGUCAUCUCCCGUAAGUGGUUUCUUCUUAGCUUCUUAUUUGUGUCUUAACCGACCAUUUUGUUGCAGG
RNAcentral lists this long non-coding RNA (318 nucleotides) under Daucus carota (carrot). Its description in RNAcentral is "long non-coding RNA (DCAR_LNC001882)". The record is from RNAcentral. Lineage: Eukaryota; Viridiplantae; Streptophyta; Magnoliopsida; Apiales; Apiaceae.